AUCAGAUCAGAUGCCUCCGUUUCUUGCUUCAGCAGUUCAGCUUCUGCUUGCUGUCGUAAUAACUGUCUUGCGGUUGUCGUAUCGUACGUACGUACCCGUGGCCGCGCCUGCGGUGAGCGCCAUGACGUCGCCGCUGCUCUGCGCGUUCACGGCCGAGUGGAUGGCGGCCAGGAUCUGGUCGUGGCUGGCGCCGAUCGCCUGCGCCAUCUCCACGCAGUGCGACGCCACCAGCGCCGCCGCGGACGCCACGGCCGCCGCGGUCUUGGCGCCGCCGCCGUCGCCCUUGGCCGGCCGCUGCUCCGGCGCCGCCGAGGACGACG
Molecule: unclassified non-coding RNA, 320 nt
Filed under: Zea mays
Lineage: Eukaryota; Viridiplantae; Streptophyta; Magnoliopsida; Poales; Poaceae
Description: misc RNA Zm00001eb119230
Source: RNAcentral